UACAGAGGGUGCAAGCGUUAAUCGGAUUUACUGGGCGUAAAGGGCGCGCAGGCGGCUUAUUUUGUCAGGCGUGAAAGCCCCGGGCUUAACCUGGGAACUGCGUUUGAUACGGAUGGGCUAGAGUUCGGGAGAGGAGAGUGGAUUUCCCAGUGUAGAGGUGAAAUUCGUAGAUAUUGGGAAGAACACCGGUGGCGAAGGCGGCUCUCUGGACCGAGACUGACGCUGAGGCGCGAAAGCGUGGGGAGCAAACAGG
This 253-nucleotide ribosomal RNA is filed under the name uncultured bacterium. RNAcentral describes it as "partial 16S ribosomal RNA". It matches the Rfam family "Bacterial small subunit ribosomal RNA", at positions 524 to 776 of the family's 1533-position model. The record is from RNAcentral.